GGUGAAGUUGAAGCUGGUUUCCAGAGUGUUUGGCAACUAGAAUGUUGUUAACUCUAAAAAAUAUGAUUAUCAGAAUAUAUUGCCAUCAUUGCUCUUAGUUCGCGGAGCCCAGCUGUCAUACUCCUUUUUCCUUAUUUUUCUUUUCCUACCUUAUCUUCUCCUCGCCGACGGUGUACACCAGCUCGAGCUCCUUCCCACCGAUUGCGGCGCCGAGGGUCAGCUCCCAUGGCGCCUCGUUGGCCACGGCAGCUCCACC
This 256-nucleotide long non-coding RNA is filed under the name Panicum hallii. Its description in RNAcentral is "long non-coding RNA (PHAL_LNC000075)". Lineage: Eukaryota; Viridiplantae; Streptophyta; Magnoliopsida; Poales; Poaceae. The record is from RNAcentral.